RNAcentral lists this ribosomal RNA (368 nucleotides) under Thyrinula eucalyptina. RNAcentral's name for it is "partial 18S ribosomal RNA". Lineage: Eukaryota; Fungi; Ascomycota; Dothideomycetes; Asterinales; Asterinaceae. The record is from RNAcentral.
UGCCCCUCUGCACCGAGGGAGGCGCCCGCGACUCUAAACAACGGGUGCCGUGUCAGCUAGUCCCUGUCGGUGCCCCCUACGCACCGACCCGGGCAACAUCGUCAAACUGCGGGAAAGCCCUGCCACGACUCUCUCGGGACCUCACCGCCCCAGUAAUGGAAGCGGGUGCCUGCGGCUAACGGCCGCGGGUACGGUAAAGCACCGAAGUCUAGGGGCGAUCCGCCGCCAAACCCUCCCCGCACCGGGAGGGCCCAGCUCACAGGCCAGACGGCGAUGGGCGCUCUCGCGCUUAAGAUAUGGUCGAGUGACCCGCCGAGAGGCGGGUGCAACUCAGGAACGUCCGUAGGUGAACCUGCGGAAGGAUCAUU